UUCGAUAUCAUAUUCCCUCAUGCCUAUUCUAUAUUUAUCGCGCAUGAAUGCAUCUUUCUUAAUUAAAACAACUACAGAAGUUGAUCGAUCCAAUUCAGUUUAGGUAAUUAAUUAAGAAAGAAAUGGUCAGAAAGUACAGCCAUUAUGCCAUGCACAACGAACAAAAUUCAGGUCAACUUGCAAUUAUUUGGCAUAUGGGUGAAACCAAGACAGCUCAACUCUCACAUGGGACCCAAAUAAUAAAUCCAAAUAAUAAUUAGACAAACUUGUUGCUGCACGUUGUCACAAUAGGGGAGAAAGAAAAUGAAAAACCACAGUUUUGUUGUAUAUCACACAAACUAAAAUGAAAAAAAUAAAUAAAUAUGUACAGUCCACCUCAAUAUGAUGUAAGAAAAAUUGACGCUACAGUUUAACCAACUUAAAACGGUUUCUUCAACAAUUAAAAGAAAAGGAGAUUCGAGGUCGAUUGAUAAUGACUUUAACUUCUAUACACCAACCAAUUAUGUAAGAGAAUUUCACACCAUCACGUUGCCUAAUGUAGAUAAUUACAAGUAACAUCCAUCAAGUGAGAUUAAUAAACAGAGAUGUCAGCGUAUAAAAGUUAAAUUCAUAUCAAAAUGGGGAGAUAUAUUGGAAGAAGAAAUGAACUAGAAAAUUUUAGCAACAUCCUUAAUCAAGCCUCUAUUGGCUCUGGCAAAAUCUGUGAACUCUUGAAAAGAAAUGAAACCAUCUUUAUCAGUAUCAAUUUCAUCCAUCAUAUACUUAACUUCUUCAGGAGUAAUAGAACCUAACGCUUGCAAGGUCUCUCCAAGUUCUGUCGCAGAGAUUUGUCCAUCACCAUCUCCAUCAAAACGCUUGAAGAUUCGUUCUCGAUCAGCUAUAUCUUUUGGAUCAUCAGCCUCUGCCAUUCCUCAACAGUUUUUAAUUUUUACCAAUCUUUUUAUAAUGGCAAUUAUAAUAUGGCAAAGUUUGUUCUUCUAAUUUGUGUUUGGUUUAAUAUUUAGUCACUUAGAUCCAAGAAAUGACUUGAUUUGGGGUUAUAAAGGGGUAGAUCUCUAUCAAUGUAUGGUUAACCUUAUCAUUAGGACAUGGGAUUUUUGUGGACAAACUCUGAAAGGGUCUAGACAUCCAUCCACAAUCAAAGAUAAUUAACGGAAAUAACAAAUUUAUAAUUGAAAAUUCCACAUAUAUUGAAUGGAUUGGAAUCUCAUAUUUUAAUUGCGCUUCCGCUAUAUAUACUGUACUUGAACUGUUGGAUAAUCAUAGUCAAUAUGAUAAUAACUAAUUCUUAAUUCUAUAACGGUGAAUAGAAAUUUGAUUGCCCAUUUGAAGUUUAGUGCCUUCCCUUAGAUCUGUACUUGAAAGUUUCUUAUCUCCUACCGUCAUACGCCUCCAACCGUUAAUAGUUUUGAUAUCCCAUUUUGAUCAAUACGGCAUAUAAUAAAUCAUAAUGAGAUUUCCUAUUAUCAUAUUGUCGGAUGAAUACAAUCAAAUAUAAUCAAACGGGACCUCAUCCUGAUGGAAAAUUUUUAAUUCAAAAAUGAAAUAAAAAAGGCAUAAAAUUAAAAUAUAAAUAGCACUAAAGGUGGAUUGUAAAUCUUAGUAGAUACCGAAGUUUGAAAGAGAUAAGUAUGUCUUAAACCAUUAGAUGGUGGGGGCGGGCUUGACCAACUGUAAAAAUUAUGCUUGUCGAUAGAGUAGGUGAUUUUGAAUUAGCAUCUUACUAUGAUCAUUAUAUUAUUUAAUUUAAAUUUAUGUUGAUAAAAGGUAUAUAAAAGUGUAUCACCUAAAUUGUAAAGAGGAAGUGAGUAUUUAAAAGUUUAUUGUUAUAUUGAAAUAUAAAUGGCAGCACAAACAUCAAAAAAUGGCAAAGCCAAGUUGAAUUUUGUGCAUCAAAUUAGUUCAAACUUUUGCAGCAGUGUAAAGGGAGAAUUUUAAUUAAUGGAUAUUGAAAAAAAAAACAAAAAAACUUGAGCACUCCUGCUCCUCACAAAUGCUUUAAAAUGACAUGUUGAACAUUUCCUCUGAUCCCUAAUAGUACCUGCUAGGUAUGAUAUUUUAUUUAAUGGAUAUGAACAAUUCCUAAAUCACCGGCAAAACUCUCCAAAAUCAUUGCAAGAGUUAAAACUAUAUGACGAAAAUCCAAAAUUAUUUCUACUUUUAUGUUUUAAAAUAGAGUUGUUAGUAUGGAUCGGUUCAGUCCAUUCGAACUAGCUUACAUGAGCUUUGGAGUUUGAUGGGCCGCGCUGGGCUGACUCAUCAACAUGAGAGGCCAAAAAAUAACAAGUCCAACCCAUCACAUUGUGGACUGCAGGCCUUCACGGGCCAACCCAUUUUUUAAAAUAUAUUAUUUUUAUAAUGUUAAUUUAAAUUUUAAAAUAUUAAUUAUAUAAUAUUUACAAUAUAAUAUUACAUGAAGUUACUACUUGUUAAUUAAGUCACAAUAGGGGAGAAAGAAAAUGAAAAACCACAGUUUUGUUGUAUAUCACACAAACUAAAAUGAAAAAAAUAAAUAAAUAUGUACAGUCCACCUCAAUAUGAUGUAAGAAAAAUUGACGCUACAGUUUAACCAACUUAAAACGGUUUCUUCAACAAUUAAAAGAAAAGGAGAUUCGAGGUCGAUUGAUAAUGACUUUAACUUCUAUACACCAACCAAUUAUGUAAGAGAAUUUCACACCAUCACGUUGCCUAAUGUAGAUAAUUACAAGUAACAUCCAUCAAGUGAGAUUAAUAAACAGAGAUGUCAGCGUAUAAAAGUUAAAUUCAUAUCAAAAUGGGGAGAUAUAUUGGAAGAAGAAAUGAACUAGAAAAUUUUAGCAACAUCCUUAAUCAAGCCUCUAUUGGCUCUGGCAAAAUCUGUGAACUCUUGAAAAGAAAUGAAACCAUCUUUAUCAGUAUCAAUUUCAUCCAUCAUAUACUUAACUUCUUCAGGAGUAAUAGAACCUAACGCUUGCAAG
This 2957-nucleotide long non-coding RNA is filed under the name Capsicum annuum. RNAcentral describes it as "long non-coding RNA (CANN_LNC002854)". The record is from RNAcentral. Lineage: Eukaryota; Viridiplantae; Streptophyta; Magnoliopsida; Solanales; Solanaceae.